GGAGUMUAACAUGUGCGCGAGUCGCUGGGAGCUCUCGCUAAACCCGGAGGCGCAGUGAAAGCGGGGCGCGGUCCUUCGUGGGCCGCCGUUGGGAGGAUGUCGUGCGGAGAAUCCGCACGGCCGCACUCCCGGGGCGCCUCGGCCUCGGCCGCAGGCGCACCCCGAGCGCACACGUUGGGACCCGAAAGAUGGUGAACUAUGCCUGGUCAGGACGAAGUCAGGGGAAACCCUGAUGGAGGUCCGCAGCGAUUCUGACGUGCAAAUCGAUCGUCAGAGCUGGGUAUAGGGGCGAAAGACUAAUCGAACCAUCUAGUAGCUGGUUCCCUCCGAAGUUUCCCUCAGGAUAGCUGGCGCUCAUUUGGAGAGGGACGAGUCUCAUCCGGUAAAGCGAAUGAUUAGAGGCCUUGGGGCCGAAACGACCUCAACCUAUUCUCAAACUUUAAAUGGGUGAGAUCUCCGGCUUGCUCGACUGAAGCCGCGAGAGUACCGGAUCAGGGUGCCAAGUGGGCCAUUUUUG
RNAcentral lists this ribosomal RNA (517 nucleotides) under Lucihormetica subcincta. RNAcentral describes it as "eukaryotic LSU rRNA". It matches the Rfam family "Eukaryotic large subunit ribosomal RNA", at positions 670 to 1139 of the family's 3401-position model. The record is from RNAcentral. Lineage: Eukaryota; Metazoa; Arthropoda; Insecta; Blattodea; Blaberidae.